This 465-nucleotide ribosomal RNA is filed under the name uncultured bacterium. RNAcentral's name for it is "partial 16S ribosomal RNA". It matches the Rfam family "Bacterial small subunit ribosomal RNA", at positions 28 to 507 of the family's 1533-position model. The record is from RNAcentral.
GACGAACGCUGGCGGCGUGCUUAACACAUGCAAGUCGAACGGAAAGGCCCCUUUGGGGGUCCUCGAGUGGCGAACGGGUGAGUAACACGUGAGUAACCUGCCCUUGACUUCGGGAUAACUUCAGGAAACUGGGGCUAAUACCGGAUAGGAAUCCUUGCUGCAUGGUGGGGGUUGGAAAGCUUCGGCGGUUUUGGAUGGACUCGCGGCUUAUCAGCUUGUUGGUGGGGUAGUGGCUUACCAAGGCUUUGACGGGUAGCCGGCCUGAGAGGGCGACCGGCCACAUUGGGACUGGGGUACGGCCCAGACUCCUACGGGAGGCAGCAGUGGGGAAUAUUGCACAAUGGGCGGAAGCCUGAUGCAGCAACGCCGCGUGCGGGAUGACGGCCUUCGGGUUGUAAACCGCUUUCAGCAGGGGCGAAGCUUGUGGUGACGGUACCUGCAGAAGAAGCACCGGCUAACUACGUG